Molecule: ribosomal RNA, 253 nt
Filed under: uncultured bacterium
Lineage: Bacteria
Description: partial 16S ribosomal RNA
Rfam family: Bacterial small subunit ribosomal RNA
Source: RNAcentral
UACGGAGGGUGCAAGCGUUAUCCGGAUUUACUGGGUUUAAAGGGUGUGUAGGCGGGUCUUUAAGUCAGUGGUGAAAUCUCCGAGCUUAACUUGGAAACUGCCAUUGAUACUAUUGAUCUUGAAUUCUGUUGAGGUGGGCGGAAUAUGUCAUGUAGCGGUGAAAUGCUUAGAUAUGACAUAGAACACCAAUUGCGAAGGCAGCUCACUAAACAGAUAUUGACGCUGAGGCACGAAAGCGUGGGGAUCAAACAGG